UCGCACCAACCGAUUGAAUGGUUCGGUGAAGAAUCUGGACACAUGAAAAGGAUGAUUCAGUUCGUCUUUUUUGAGUGGAAAUUUUCUAAACCUAACUCUUUAGAGGAUGGUG
Molecule: ribosomal RNA, 112 nt
Filed under: uncultured eukaryote
Lineage: Eukaryota
Description: partial small subunit ribosomal RNA
Rfam family: Eukaryotic small subunit ribosomal RNA
Source: RNAcentral